UAAUUUCAUAAUGACUAAAUCAUGAUUCUAAUCACAGGCCAUGGUGAUAAUUAUAAUUAUGUAGUCGUAAUUGCUUUAAUGAUAAUCAUGGAAUCAUAUAAAAUCACCAUCAUGAUCAGUUCUCUUCAAGAUUGAUUGAUUAAGAUUAAUCAACAACAAAUUAGUAAAUUAGUUGCAUUAGCAGGGCAAUUAACAGCUACUAUAUUAGUUGAUAUGCGCUGGCUAAAGCUCACGCCCCUACGAAGGAGACGGCAAAUCGACGAAGAGUGCCUUCUACGAGACCGUGGAAUAAAACAUCGAAGCUUGCCCCAGGCAUGAUAUCAAAUUCAUACUUGGGGAUUUUAAAAGGUGUGAUGAUGUUUAUAACGGAAAGGAAGAACGCUGCAUAACGGGCAAUGCAGCAAUUUCAAACAACCCCGGCACAUGCAGAGACUUACCACGAAAUUUUGCCAACAAGUCAGCAGCAUCAGGCCAUAAAUAUCUCGAUGUUAUCCAGACAAAGAAGGACAUCUGAUUUCAAACCGUACGGGCAUAUGGAUUAUUUUGAUCAACUGCUCAAUACCCGGAAUAAUGGCGAGAUGGAGAUACCGUCAACUAGAGACGGUGGACAAAUACUGUCACCACCACGCCUGGAGGAAACGGUUUGAGCAAUUCAUCGGCUUAAGAAUCAUAAGCCGAUGGAAUUGCAGCUAAACUGAUUAAGUAUGGAGCCGACCAACUUAUACUAAAGGUUUGGGAUGACUGGCAACGAAACAUUAUAUGUCCCAUACUUACACUGGGAUACCACGCAGUGUAGCAAAUUAUAGAGAUAUUGCAUUGCGGAAUACCAUCUGUAACGAUGCUAACAACACGUAAGUUUUCAAUUUUAACCACCAGAGCGGCGUUUCCAAAACCGAGAAGUCUUUGGAAAAAUAUAUCUCCCUUCUUGAUUGUCAACCGAUAUGGUUUUACGUAUUAAAUCUCCUUAUUAAAUAAAUGAUUAAUUGUUGUAAUCAUCGUGUUUGAUUUUUAUAGAAAGUUUUCACGACAACUAUCUUCCCACUGGCGACUGAUAUAUCUAUAAAUGGUGACCCCGCCGAUGAACAAAUUAGAAUUGUAAAAUUGAGACUGCAUCCAUUUGUACAUUGCAUGUACAUUUCGCGAGAACUAUUAGUAACAGUGAUGUAGUAAGGCGCAUUCUACCUCUAAGGAUCAACUGCCUGUAAUAGCGAACCAAAGUUCGGACAACAAUCUGUUUCUAAAUGGCCUAUCUAUGUCCAACGCACAGCAAAUACGUGCCUCAGCUAGCCGUCUACGUACGGCAGAGUACCUCUCCAGAUUGGAGAAAAGUGUUGCAGUACUUACAGCUCUCGACAUCUAAAGUUUCACAACAUCGUUCUCCCAAUCGCAGUGGUAACUCGGAACUGUGCUACUAUCAUCGCAACUUCGGCGAAAAAGCACGGAAGCGUCGUUUCCCGUGUCGAAUUGCACAAACAAAAAUUUAAAAAAAAAAACCAACAAAACAACCUCCGUUUUCUGAUUACGGCUCAAUCAUCUCCGUAAUUCUUCGCAAAUGUAACUUGUUCCCGGAAAGCUCAACCUUAUUGACGCCAAUCAAACGGAGAUCAUCACAUAUGAGGAAAAACCGUUUGAAAUCAAUCUAGAACUUCGAAAAGCCUUCAAGUUGGCAUCUGUUAUCGGCAACAUCGACAUACCAAUUAUAGCCACCGAUUUUCUGGCGCAUUUCAAUCUUCUCGUGAAUAUCCCACUACGUAGAAUUCGAAGGCAGCACAUAUUUUCCGAAAAAUCAUCAGCAAGCAAGCGGUGAGUUAUCGAAUCAUCACUAACAGUCAUUGCUGAACGUGCCCGUCGAUUAUUUUCAUAAAAAUUGAAAGCAGCGAAGACCUUCCACGUUUAAUGGAUUAAACAUUUCGUGGUCUGGAUUUCGUAUUUUGUUACAAUGAUGAUAUCAUCAUCAUGUCGAAUUGAAGAACACAAGAAACACCGUCGAUUUUUACUACAAUAGCUUUAAGGUAAUUGUUUGUCUAUUAACGAGAGCAAAUGUGUCUUCGGUAAACUACUUGGGAUAUACCAUCAACAAAAAUGGCUCCAAACCACCGCAUGAACGAGUAGCGGCAAUUGUAGCAUAUCCAAAAUCAGAGACAAUUGUCGAACUAUGACGUUUUCUGCCGGUUACAUUCGAUCUUCUGGAUUAUAGCAAUAUCAGGAAGAAAACGACGAAUUAAAACGAUUGGAGCCAAAAAAAUUCAGACUUCGCUUGUCAUCAACAUCAAAUAGACUUGUAGAGCGCUGGCACAGAUCGAUGAAAGCCGCAUUAAUAUGCUAAAAUACAGCAUCGUGGGUCGACUUACUUCCCACUGUAAUCCUCGGAUUAAGGACAUACUUUAAAGAGGAUUUAAAAGCUUCGCAAUCCAAGCGAAUUUUAUGUGAACGAGGACAUGCCUGCGUUUCGCGACAAAGUCACUAGAGAAGGGGAGUAUGUAGCGGUGUAAGCAACAGAAAGUUGUCACUACAAAUAUCUUCGCACCGGCGAAUGAUAUCUCCAUGCAUCUGUGGCGACCAGAGACAUCUGUUGGCACAACGGGAUUCCCAGACAUACUUCGACGUUUUCCGACCUUCCCUCGUCCAGCGGUCCUACUACCGUCAUCGGCCAAGCCCAGACACGUCCUUCGAAUUAGGAUAUGGACCACAUUCUCUAUCAUCAUCAUCAGGCAACCUCUAUUAGAUAUCGCCCACGUUUCUCGCUUCUAACCUAACAAUUGACGACACAGCACGUGUCCCUAAAAUUAUUACUAUGUUUGAAAUUACCAACUUUUAAGGAGUCAUCCCGUGUGUCGGAUCCGAGGAAUCGAAUUUUUUUUGACAUCAAUUGUACCUAGAUAUAGUGUAAAAUAUAUGGGCAAAGUGAUUUUUUGA
Long non-coding RNA from Hermetia illucens (black soldier fly), 2916 nucleotides. RefSeq lists it as uncharacterized. The transcript is spliced from 2 exons. NCBI's taxonomy places the organism in Eukaryota, Metazoa, Arthropoda, Insecta, Diptera, Stratiomyidae. The record is from RefSeq and is a predicted model, not a curated record.